This is a long non-coding RNA of Meriones unguiculatus (Mongolian gerbil), 1597 nucleotides long. RefSeq lists it as uncharacterized. The record is from RefSeq and is a predicted model, not a curated record. The transcript is spliced from 3 exons. NCBI's taxonomy places the organism in Eukaryota, Metazoa, Chordata, Mammalia, Rodentia, Muridae.
UUGUCCUCCUCCUCCGAGCCCCCGCUGGUGGCGAGGCUCACGGGCCGCGCGUGGCUGCUCCGGGACCGGGUGCCUUUGGCACCUUUGGGGUGGGGGCAGCGAUAACCGAGUCACCCGGGCAGCCGCCGAUGUUCCGGACGCGCCCAUUGGACACCGCAACAAAGAGGGGCGGGGCCUGGGCCUGGGACUCCACAGCGCCGAGCCGUGCGGCUCCGCCAUUGGCUGCAGCGUUCCCGGGCAGGCGGGGCUCCGAGUCCUGGAAGCUGGGCCGCCACGCGAAGUCCGAUGCUGCGGUGUCCCGGGAGCCCCGCGGAGGGGAGCCACGGGCCAGGGUCUGAGGUCCCGCUUCCCCGGGGCGGAGGCAGCAUCGGAGGCCCCGAGGUGGAUUCAGUGGUAGAGGGUUUGGCCGUUGGAGCAGCGUUCGCCGAGGGGCUGGGCACAGCGACCUGGCCCUUCGCAGGGCUCGGGCGAUGCACGACUUCAGCGAACCCUCCGGGACAAGUUUCUCCCCAGAUUAGCAAAUGGGGUCGGCCUUGCACCCUCUGUUAGUAGUGGUGUAACAAGGUUCCUCAACCCAGGCUGCUGCGAGACACGAGGCCGGUGACGCCCCUUCCGCUCUGCCUGGUUUGCGGAGGGAUGCUUGAAGCCAAGGAGGGGCCUUCCCACGGCCCACUAAAACGCGGCCUUCCUCCUCCUCCUCCUCCUUCCUCCUCCUCCCUCUCCUCCUCCUCCUCCUCCCUUCUCCUCCUCUUCCUCCUCCUCCUCCAUCUUCUUCUUCUCCUCUUCCUCCUCCUCCUUCUCCUUUUCGCUCCUCUGCCUCUUCCCUCAGCCUCCUUCUCUUCUUUGUCUUAUCUUCAUCUUCUUUUCUUUUUUGAGACAAGGUCUCACAGCACCCAGGCUAGCCUCAGACUUGCUAUGUAGAGAAGGAUGACCUUGAACUCCUGGCCCUGUCCUCAUCUUUCAAGUGCUGGAAUAACAGGGCCUUUCAUGCCCCAUUCAUGCAGCGCUGGAGAUGGCGCCCAAGGUUGUGGGAGGCAAGUACUCUACCAAAUGAACCACAUCUCAGGCUCAAAAUAUGCACACCCCGUGUGUGUGUGCGCGAAAGUGUGUGUGCGCGCGAUUGUGUAUGUGUGUGCACACGCAUAUACUGUGAGGCUGGAGAGUUGGCCCAGCCAGUCGAGAUCACUGUUUUUAUGGAGGAUUGGCAUUCUGGUUUUCAGCACCCAUUCCCAGCUCCAGAAACAGUGAGCGCUUCACCCUCCUGCUUUGAAAUGCCCUGCAAGUCUCUGACAGUGCAUUUGCUGACAGUCCCCAGGGCUCUGGUUGCUGUUUUCUCCUUCCCACAGAAGGGGUGAGCAGGGUGGUCUGUGAAGAUAGACGCGAAAUUCAGCAACUUUUCCAAGGGAGUAGGUGCAGGCUCCGGAGUGAAGUCACUGUGCAGGUGCCCACGGCCUCUUCACUGAGAGCUGAGCUGAGGUCUGAGGAGAGGGUCCCAGCUGCUGACACCGUGGAGCCACCCACCGCCAUGGCGGGCUGCCCCCCACCCACCACCCUCCUCCCCACCCACUACCCUCCUCCCCACCCGCCACCCUCCUCC